This 499-nucleotide ribosomal RNA is filed under the name uncultured bacterium. Its description in RNAcentral is "partial 16S ribosomal RNA". It matches the Rfam family "Bacterial small subunit ribosomal RNA", at positions 28 to 507 of the family's 1533-position model. The record is from RNAcentral.
GAUGAACGCUGGCGGCGUGCCUAAUACAUGCAAGUCGAGCGAACAGACGAGAGUGCUUGCACUCUCUGACGUUAGCGGCGGACGGGUGAGUAACACGUGGGUAACCUACCUAUAAGACUGGGAUAACUUCGGGAAACCGGAGCUAAUACCGGAUAAUAUUUAGCUUCGCAUGAAGCAAUAGUGAAAGACGGUUCUGCUGUCACUUAUAGAUGGACCCGCGGUGUAUUAGCUAGUUGGUGAGGUAACGGCUCACCAAGGCAACGAUGCAUAGCCGACCUGAGAGGGUGAUCGGCCACACUGGGACUGAGACACGGCCCAGACUCCUACGGGAGGCAGCAGUAGGGAAUCUUCCGCAAUGGACGAAAGUCUGACGGAGCAAUGCCGCGUGAGUGAAGAAGGUUUUCGGAUCGUAAAACUCUGUUGUAAGGGAAGAACAAGUACGUUAGUAACUGAACGUACCUUGACGGUACCUUACCAGAAAGCCACGGCUAACUACGUG